GCUACAGUGAGGCUAAGCUAGUGGGAGCAAAGUUUCAGUGCAUUCCGUUGAUGUAGACGGCGUGAAAACGGAAACAACAAAUAUGCCGUCUCACUCUGCUGCAUACAAUUGCACACUACGUCGUACGAUCGAGACAAGGAAACUUGGAAUGACUUUUCAUAGAGUGAAAGUAGCAGUUCCUCCUUAAUGUCAGAGAUUGCAGCAUCUGAGGGCCUCUUCAAAAGAAGACGUAGUUGAUGAAGGCGUUCUGGAGCAGGACCAGAAAGACCACGACCAAGCAGCCUUGAGAUCUUAGGCAGCGUCUCCCUCAGGUCCCUCUCUAUCUCCCCACACAUCCACCAACCACUGGAACACAUCUCCAAAGUUCUGCCGGGCCAGCUCAGCUUCCCCUCAGAAGAAGUGCCACCACCUGCCAGAUGAAGGAGCCUUUUGAGAGGCAGCUGGCAUCGUGAUUGGACUGUACUUUGGUCUGUUCCAAUCCAGCUUCAGCUCCAGAGAGGGCAGGCGGGACGAGUCAACGGAGGCCGGGUGGACGAAAGCAUGCAGCUGAGUACAACCCAGAAAACAACAGAGGAGGAGUGCAGUGGUCGCUCUGUCUUCUGGAGUGAUUUGAUUGGUCACAAAUAAAACUCCUUUAACUUAAAAUCUGUAAACAAAACAAAAACAUAUCAACAAAGUUUUCUGUUAGAGUUUGUGUUCUUCUAAGUUUAACUCCAAGAUUUUAAAUACUUCCAUUUACUGCAAAUGAUUAUCUACUCCAAAUGUCUCACUAAUAAUCAUUAUCAGCCUUAAAAACCCACAAAACACCCCUCUAUACUCAACCACACUUAGUACAGUCCGGUUCCCCCUUCUAUAAAUCUGCUUGGAAUCUUCCACUUCCUGUUUGUCAAAGUGGCCUUCUACUUGGACAGGUUUUGUUGGAGGACUAUGUCGAAAAAAAAUGCGAUUUUUCAACAUGUUGUAAAAACGUGCCAUAUGAUGAAAUAAUGUAAAGGAGGCUGUGAAAAACACUAUGGUAAGGUUUUCUUUGAAAAAAAAUCAUCAUGAAUAUUGGCGCAAAACAACGCCUUAGUAUACUAUGUCGAAAAAAAAUGCGAUUUUUCAACAUGUUGUAAAAACAUGCCAUAUGAUGGAAUAAUGUAAAGGAGACUGUGAAAAACACGAUGGUAAGGUUUUCUUUGAAAAAAAAAAUCAUCAUGAAUUUUGGCGCAAAAAAACGCCUUAGUAUGCUAUGUCGAAAAAAAAUGCGAUUUUUCAACAUGUUGUGAAAACGUGCCAUAUGAUGGAAUAAUGUAAAGGAGGUCGUGAAAAACACUCCAGAAGGGUUUUCUUUGAAAAAAAAAAUCAUCAUGAAUUUUCACGCAAAAAAACGCCAUAGUAUAUACUAUGUCGAAAAAUGUAAUUUUUCAACAUCUUGUGAAAACGUGCCAUAUGAUGGAAUAAUGUAAAGGAGGUCGUGAAAAACACUCCAGAAAGGUUUUCUUUGAAAAAAAAAAAUCAUGAAUUUUGGCGCAAAAAAACGCUAUAGUAUACGAUGUCGAAAAAAAAAUGGGAUUUUUCAACAUGUUGUAAAAACAUGCCAUAUGAUGAAAUAAUGUGAAGGAGGCCGUGAAAAACACUAUGGUAAGGUUUUCUUUAACAUCUGUAAACAAAAGAAAAAUGUAUCAACAAAGUUUUCUGUUAGAGUUUGUGUUCUUCUAAGUUUAACUCCAAGAUUUUAAAUGCUGUCAUUUACUGCAAAUGAAUAUCUACUCCAAGUCUCUCACAAAUAAUCAUUAUCAGCCUUAAAAACACACAGAACACCCCUCUAUACUCGACCACACUUAGUAUAGUCCGGUUCCCCCUUCUAUAAAUCUGCUUGGAAUCUUCCACUUCCUGUUUGUCAAAGUGGCCUUCUACCUGGACAGGCUUUGUUGGAGCUCAUGCAACAAACAUUUUGGGUAACUGCACUUUAAUAUGGAUGGAUGACUCUGAAUUAGAGUCUGUUUUAAUGAGACUGAGUUAAGAUGUGUAGCUCUGUCAUUAAAUAGGAAAUUAAUUCGCGGAAUUCACAGGGGAAGGUCUGAAAUGUUUGCUAGGUUAGCGUCCCACAUGUUUUUUGGCUCAGCUAAAGCUAACUCUCUCCAGCUUCUGGAUCUCUUGAGUUGCUUGUUGUUAAAAUAUCUUGCUAGAGGUGCUGAAGCUCAAAGUCUGAGAUGUUUGUUCAAAAUAAGCUCAUUCUCAAGUCUUCUCUGAACUGUCCUCUUUUGUUUGAACUUUCCCUAAACUUAGGAGUUAAUUACAGAGCAGCACAUCCAGACUCAGUCUCAUUUAUGUAGAGAUUAAACUUCAGUGUCAUUCAUUGAUGUUAAAGUGCAGUUUUUCAAAAUGUUUGUUGUACAUGCUCCCGACCAAAGCAGUCCAGGUGGAAGACGAUGUGAAGAGAAAGCUCCAGAGGAUGAAUAUCACACAUUUACGUUGGAAAUAAAUGUCCCUUAAUGAGAUAUUGUCAUGCCAGAGUUGAAUUUCCCUUUAAUGAUGUUCAAAUCUUUGUUGAGUGUUUUGUUGAUGUUGGUUUCUAAAUGUUUUCUGACACUCGGCCCCAAAGAUUAAAACCUUCUACGGCUGACAAGCUGCAACAAUUCACACAUUAUCAACUAUCUUUCUGACUAAACUAAGAUAAAAAGUGAAAAACUGCCUGA
Molecule: long non-coding RNA, 2681 nt
Organism: Amphiprion ocellaris (clown anemonefish)
Lineage: Eukaryota; Metazoa; Chordata; Actinopteri; Pomacentridae
Exons: 3
Source: RefSeq, a predicted model, not a curated record